GGGAGACUCGAGCGUAGCUGAUGCAAACCUGCAGAACACUGAUCCAGAUGUGAUCCUCUGCAAUGCAGUAGAGAUGAUCCGUGAGUGUUUAAAUGUUUCUGAAGAUAGUAAAAAAGAACACUGUGAGAAAGAAGAUGAGUAUGUUUAUGACAUCUACUAUAUGGAAUCAUCAGCCCCUGGUUGGAUCCAAAAUAUCCUUUCUGUACAGCCCUACAUAGAAGAAUAUGAACUGGUAAGGUCAUGGGAAAACAGCUUUCUUAAAUAGAAAGGUCACAAAUAAACAUGCUUGAAGUCCUAUCAUUAAAAGUUGCCAUGCCAAGAAAGAUCCUUUGAGAUACUACACCUAUGCUCAGGGACUUCUGUGUUGGGCUUUUUCUAACUGCCAAUCCUGUGUUCCUGCAGGUUACUGUUGAUUCAAGCAAAUUAUGUUAUGACAAUGAAAACUAAAGGGAUAUUGCUCAUACUCAGAAGAA
Long non-coding RNA from Strigops habroptila (Kakapo), 473 nucleotides. RefSeq lists it as uncharacterized. NCBI's taxonomy places the organism in Eukaryota, Metazoa, Chordata, Aves, Psittaciformes, Psittacidae. The transcript is spliced from 5 exons. The record is from RefSeq and is a predicted model, not a curated record.